AACGAACGCUGGCGGCAUGCCUAACACAUGCAAGUCGAACGAGACCUUCGGGUCUAGUGGCGCAUGGGUGCGUAACGCGUGGGAACCUGCCCUUAGGUUCGGAAUAACUCCCCGAAAGGGGUGCUAAUACCGGAUAAUGUCUUCGGACCAAAGAUUUAUCGCCUUUGGAUGGGCCCGCGUUGGAUUAGCUAGUUGGUAGGGUAAAAGCCUACCAAGGCGACGAUCCAUAGCUGGUCUGAGAGGAUGAUCAGCCACACUGGGACUGAGACACGGCCCAGACUCCUACGGGAGGCAGAAGUGGGGAAUAUUGGACAAUGGGAGAAAGCCUGAUCCAGCAAUGCCGCGUGAGUGAUGAAGGCCUUAGGGUUGUAAAGCUCUUUUACCCGGGAUGAUAAUGACAGUACCGGGAGAAUAAGCUCCGGCUAACUCCGUG
Molecule: ribosomal RNA, 433 nt
Filed under: uncultured bacterium
Lineage: Bacteria
Description: partial 16S ribosomal RNA
Rfam family: Bacterial small subunit ribosomal RNA
Source: RNAcentral